CACCUACGGGAGGCAGCAGUGAGGAAUAUUGGUCAAUGGGCGGGAGCCUGAACCAGCCAAGCCGCGUGAAGGAAGAAGGCGCCAGGCAUCGUAAACUUCUUUUGUCGGGGAACAAAGGGCGCCACGCGUGGCGUUGUGAGUGUACCCGAAGAAAAAGCAUCGGCUAACACCGUGCCAGCAGCCGCGGUAAUACGGAGGAUGCGAGCGUUAUCCGGAUUUAUUGGGUUUACAGGAUGCGAAGGCGAUACAACAAGUCAGAGGUAAAAGCCCGGGGCUCAACCCCGGCGAGCCGUUGAAACUGUCGG
Molecule: ribosomal RNA, 305 nt
Filed under: uncultured bacterium
Lineage: Bacteria
Description: bacterial SSU rRNA
Rfam family: Bacterial small subunit ribosomal RNA
Source: RNAcentral